This is an RNA transcript of Diabrotica virgifera virgifera (western corn rootworm), 1488 nucleotides long. RefSeq lists it as uncharacterized. NCBI's taxonomy places the organism in Eukaryota, Metazoa, Arthropoda, Insecta, Coleoptera, Chrysomelidae. The record is from RefSeq and is a predicted model, not a curated record. The transcript is spliced from 2 exons.
AACGGAUUGCGAAAAAACAGAAGCGAUGGAUAAAUUUAUAUCAAGGAAGGAAUACGCCCUUCAACCGAUCCAUUUUGCCGCAGACUUACUAAACCCUCGGUCUGUUGGUGCAAAUUUAUCAUCAGCCGAAAGGAUUGAAGCGAUGAAAUACAUUACUACUAUGUCAACCACGACCACGAUAGAGAUUGGUGAUGAAGGAGUGUCAAAGAUUACUGAGGAUUUAGGAAACUAUUUAGCUAAAACAGACUUUUUUGGCGAAACAUUUUUAUGGAACAUACUCGAUAAUGUCUCUUUGGUUACAUGGUGGAAAGGAUUUUGUGGACAUUCAUGCCUCUCCAAAGUUGCAGUCAGGAUAUUGACAAUGCCGUGCACUUCUGCGGCAACAGAGAGAAGCUUUAGCUCCCAGAGCAGCAUUCAUACGAAGAGAAGAAAUCGCCUAACAACUCAAAGGGCAGCAAAUUUAAAUUAUAUACAAUAUAAUUCAAAAUUGCUGAAACGUUCACGACAACAUCACAUACAAAGUCAAUAUCCUAUAGAAGAGACUGUACAGAACAACGUUUCGAUAGAAGGUAGAAACUUACAGAAGGAGAUAGAAGUAAUUGAAAACCAUAUUUCCGAAGAGGAAGAAUUAGACGAGGUAAUUUUAAAUUUAGGCAUUUUUUAGAUAUGUGAUAUGUGCAUGUGAUAUAUGCAGUUUGCUUCUUUUCCGAUUUUCCAAUGCAUUCCACCGUUUUCGAAUAAAAAAUUAUAAAUCUUAUGUUUUCAGACAAUAUCAUCAUGGCAUUCAAAUACAACAGGAAAUGGAAAUUCCGACGAUGAUUUUAAUUUUGCUGACUUUGCAAUGACCGAUGAUGAAAUUGAUCAAAGAAUGGAAACUAGGGAACAGAGACCAGCACGCAUUUUGAGACAAAGCAAAGUGAACAUUUUAGAAAACGUCUUAAUGAAAUCGGGUAAAGGCACAGAACAACCCCAAAAAAAAACGGAAGUCGAGAAGGAUACUUCAGAUGCCGAAAACAAGGUAGUUAGAUCUGUAUAUAUUAUAUUAUAAACCCAUUAUUUUUACUCUCUAUGUUUACACUUUCCUAUUUAAUUUCAGGAUGCAGUUCUGGAUUUGCCGGAGAUAAAAAAAAUUACACAAGGCUCAUUGGAAGAGCAAACAAUUGAAACUUCGACGUUUUAUAACAAGAAGGUCUCCAGUUGUCUGCGAAAAAGGAAGUUGUGAUUUAUAAAAGCCGCUUAAAACAAAACUAAAGAACCUAUGUUUUCAUUUCUUUAUUAUUUGUAUGUAUUUCUUAUCCACUUUUCUUUAUUUCAUAAGUAUGUAGUUACUUUGUGUUUAUUAUAUUCAAUAUGAAUGCAAACAAUUGAUUUUUUAAUACAAUGAACAUAAAUUACAUAAGUUACAUAAAUUACAUCUGGUUUGUAAUUUUUGGGUAAUUUUACACGUGUAACUUACAAUUUCUGAAAUUACACGUAAUUUCACAUCGC